Long non-coding RNA from Oncorhynchus tshawytscha (Chinook salmon), 701 nucleotides. The record is from Ensembl. Lineage: Eukaryota; Metazoa; Chordata; Actinopteri; Salmoniformes; Salmonidae.
AACAUAUUCACAUGACAAGAGGAUCAAGAAGCAGAAAAUCAAGGAGCAGAAAAUGAACAUGUCUUUCUUGAUAUUCUUGCAAAGGUUUCAGAGUACUCUCUUAAAUUCAUUGAGCUGGAUGAGAACUUCAAGAGAUCCAUCGAGUUCAGGAUGAUCCAGGAUUAAAGAAAGCAUGUACAUUGCAGAGAGGGAGCACAAGUAAAGCCUAGCUAGAAUGGAGCACACAUUCUUCAGUGAAAAAGUUUCACCUAGAGGAGGAGGCAGAGCAGAGGAUCGCCCAACUGGAUGAGAGGGCCCACAAUGAAGCCGUUGUAAGACCAGUGAGCUGAUGGAGAAUGUGUCCCAGGUGAUGGCCCAGGAGAUAGAGCUGAGGGGGAAGGUGGGGACCCUGGAGUAGGGCCUAGGGCUCAUGGUGGGGGAGUUUGAGAGACAGCACCAGGCCCUGGACAGCACCCAGGCCGGCCAAGUGGAGUUGGACAAGUUGCAGAAGCUGCUGGCCAUGCAGGAGAAGGAGAUGGGGCGAGUGAAGCAGCAGCCACAGCAUUGUGUAGCAAUGCACAGAGCUAGAAUGAUUCUUCCAGGAGGCCCUGGGCAAGGUGAAGCAUGAGAUCCAGGCCUGCCGGCUGCAGUACAGGCAGGAGGCCCACCGUAGGAGGAUGAGAAAGGCCUGGUCAGGCAAGCAGGAGUACUCCUGAAUCCAC